CCUACGGGUGGCAGCAGUAGGGAAUCUUCCACAAUGGGCGCAAGCCUGAUGGAGCAACACCGCGUGAGUGAAGAAGGCUUUCGGGUUGUAAACUUCUUUUCUCAGGGACGAAGCAAGUGACGGUACCUGAGGAAUAAGCCACGGCUAACUACGUGCAAGCAGCCGCGGUAAUACGUAGGUGGCAAGCGUUAUACGGAUUUACUGGGUUUAAAGGGCGUGUAGGCGGGACUGCAAGUCAGAUGUGAAAACCAUGGGCUCAACCUAUGGCCUGCAUUUGAAACUGUAGUUCUUGAGUACUGGAGAGGCAGACGGAAUUCCUAGUGUAGCGGUGAAAUGCGUAGAUAUUAGGAGGAACACCAGUGGCGAAGGCGGUCUGCUGGACAGCAACUGACGCUGAGGCGCGAAAGCGUGGGGAGCAAACAGGAUUAGAUACCCUUGUAGUC
This 443-nucleotide ribosomal RNA is filed under the name uncultured bacterium. RNAcentral's name for it is "partial 16S ribosomal RNA". It matches the Rfam family "Bacterial small subunit ribosomal RNA", at positions 338 to 795 of the family's 1533-position model. The record is from RNAcentral.